UGCAGUCGAGCGGACAGAUGGGAGCUUGCUCCCUGAUGUUAGCGGCGGACGGGUGAGUAACACGUGGGUAACCUGCCUGUAAGACUGGGAUAACUCCGGGAAACCGGGGCUAAUACCGGAUGGUUGUUUGAACCGCAUGGUUCAGACAUAAAAGGUGGCUUCGGCUACCACUUACAGAUGGACCCGCGGCGCAUUAGCUAGUUGGUGAGGUAACGGCUCACCAAGGCGACGAUGCGUAGCCGACCUGAGAGGGUGAUCGGCCACACUGGGACUGAGACACGGCCCAGACUCCUACGGGAGGCAGCAGUAGGGAAUCUUCCGCAAUGGACGAAAGUCUGACGGAGCAACGCCGCGUGAGUGAUGAAGGUUUUCGGAUCGUAAAGCUCUGUUGUUAGGGAAGAACAAGUGCCGUUCAAAUAGGGCGGCACCUUGACGGUACCUAACCAGAAAGCCACGGCUAACUACGUGCCAGCAGCCGCGGUAAUACGUAGGUGGCAAGCGUUGUCCGGAAUUAUUGGGCGUAAAGGGCUCGCAGGCGGUUUCUUAAGUCUGAUGUGAAAGCCCCCGGCUCAACCGGGGAGGGUCAUUGGAAACUGGGGAACUUGAGUGCAGAAGAGGAGAGUGGAAUUCCACGUGUAGCGGUGAAAUGCGUAGAGAUGUGGAGGAACACCAGUGGCGAAGGCGACUCUCUGGUCUGUAACUGACGCUGAGGAGCGAAAGCGUGGGGA
This 728-nucleotide ribosomal RNA is filed under the name Bacillus velezensis. RNAcentral's name for it is "bacterial SSU rRNA". It matches the Rfam family "Bacterial small subunit ribosomal RNA", at positions 56 to 767 of the family's 1533-position model. The record is from RNAcentral. Lineage: Bacteria; Bacillati; Bacillota; Bacilli; Caryophanales; Bacillaceae.